This 889-nucleotide unclassified non-coding RNA is filed under the name Hevea brasiliensis (rubber tree). The record is from RNAcentral. Lineage: Eukaryota; Viridiplantae; Streptophyta; Magnoliopsida; Malpighiales; Euphorbiaceae.
GCAGAACCGUCUUCAAGAACUCCCUUUCUCUUGGAUCUUCUGAAUCAAAGAGAUCUAAUAACCUUAGAACAAAAGAAUGGUCAACAUAUCGCUUAGACAAUUUUGCAUCUGUCUCCGGUGAUGCCACAAAUCUGAGAAAGAACUCAUACACAAUUUGCAAAUGUGGCCAUGCGGGAUCCAUCAAGGGUUCGUCAUCUUCCAAGUCAAAAGCUUCCAAUACUUUGUUUUCACGAGGUUGAGGAGUUAGAGACCUGAACAGAUUUGAAGACACCAUUUUAACAAUUUCUUGAAUGACAGUUUCUGUGAAUUUUCCAUUUGCAGAACUAAGAUAAUCAACAAGCUCUAUUAAUGUCUGCCGCUUGAUGUCUUUUUCUUUCAAGUACUUUGUUGGGUCAGUAAAGUCAAAUAAUACACAGCACAAGUUCAGUUUUUUUAUGAACAAGUUUUGUUUCUCAGCAGUUGGUACAUCUUUAAAACUAGGCAAGGUCUCACACAGAAAAACUGCUGCACUUCCAUUCACCUUAGCAUUUGCCCCCUGCGGUAGCCUAUUUCCAUGAUUUGGUCCCAGAGUUGAAGAAGUGACUCCUGAAACAGUAGUGGCACUUGAAUUUCCUGACUGCGCAGUAGACAAAUCACUGCUUCUAGAACCAGUUGAAGCAUUGGACGGUGAUGCAGAGCUUCCUCCAUCGCGAUUUUCUGCUGACUUGGAAGGCUUUCUAGGGAGCCUAUUAAGUAUCUGUUUGAUCAUCACUUGAAAAUAUGAUCUUCUGGUCGUAAUGUUUUACUGAUUUAAACACCCUCAAAACAGAACUUUCAUCAAUCUGAAAGGUCUAAGCAGCAAAAUGAAUUGUUAGCAAGCCAGUGCAGAUCUCAUCCACCCCGAAUCCUU